Molecule: ribosomal RNA, 584 nt
Filed under: uncultured bacterium
Lineage: Bacteria
Description: bacterial SSU rRNA
Rfam family: Bacterial small subunit ribosomal RNA
Source: RNAcentral
CCUACGGGAGGCAGCAGUGGGGAAUCUUGCGCAAUGGGCGGAAGCCUGACGCAGCAACGCCGCGUGUGGGAAGACGGCUUUCGGGUUGUAAACCACUUUCAGGGGGGGACGAAGCUUCCGAGGUUAAUAGCCUACGGGGUGACGGUACCCCCAGAAGAAGCCCCGGCUAACUACGUGCCAGCAGCCGCGGUAAUACGUAGGGGGCGAGCGUUGUCCGGAAUCAUUGGGCGUAAAGCGCGUGUAGGCGGCUUGAUAAGUCUGGUGUGAAAUCUUGGGGCUUAACCCCAAGCCUGCACUGGAUACUGUCAAGCUUGAGUCCGGGAGGGGAGAGCGGAAUUCCUAGUGUAGCGGUGAAAUGCGCAGAUAUUAGGAAGAACACCGGUGGCGAAGGCGGCUCUCUGGAACGGUACUGACGCUGAGACGCGAAAGCGUGGGGAGCGAACAGGAUUAGAUACCCUGGUAGUCCACGCCGUAAACGAUGGGCACUAGAUGUGGGCGGUGUCGACUCCGUCCGUGUCGAAGCUAACGCAUAAGUGCCCGCCUGGGAGUACGGCCGCAAGGCUAAAACUCAAAUGAAUUGACGG